GCGUGAGUGAUGACGGCCUUAGGGUUGUAAAGCUCUUUCAGUGGUGAAGAUAAUGACGGUAACCACAGAAGAAGCCCCGGCUAACUUCGUGCCAGCAGCCGCGGUAAUACGAAGGGGGCUAGCGUUGUUCGGAAUUACUGGGCGUAAAGCGCACGUAGGCGGAUUGCUAAGUCAGGGGUGAAAUCCCAGAGCUCAACUCUGGAACUGCCUUUGAUACUGGCAAUCUCGAGUCCGGAAGAGGUGAGUGGAACUCCUAGUGUAGAGGUGGAAUUCGU
RNAcentral lists this ribosomal RNA (275 nucleotides) under uncultured bacterium. Its description in RNAcentral is "partial 16S ribosomal RNA". It matches the Rfam family "Bacterial small subunit ribosomal RNA", at positions 399 to 691 of the family's 1533-position model. The record is from RNAcentral.